UUAUUUCACUCCCUAAAUA
Molecule: transfer RNA, 19 nt
Filed under: Opuntia bakeri
Lineage: Eukaryota; Viridiplantae; Streptophyta; Magnoliopsida; Caryophyllales; Cactaceae
Description: partial tRNA-Leu
Source: RNAcentral